UCGGAAUUAUUGAAGUGAUAAGGUUUUCAUAAGUCAAAAGGUGAAAUGAUGAGAUGAAAGGUGUCAAAUUUUGAUACAAUAAGGCUAAAUCAUUGAAAAUAAGGAAUUUUCAUCAACCUUAUCACUUUGCACGACCAUUACUCUGAAAAACAGAGAGAAAAGAAAACCAAAAACCAUUUCUUGGCUGGUUUGAAGAAAUUCUAAGGAGAUCCAAGUGAAAGCAAAGCCAAAGAAGUAGAUUAAGCUUAGUUCUAGCAUUUUUAUGAUAUCUCUUGGUGGUUUCCAAGUGGUUUGAGGUUUAGAAAAGCUAGAAGAGAUUGUUUUCGCCGAAAAGUUGCUCAGAUAAGCACAUCAAUACCUAAGACACCACUUGUUACACGGUGAAUUAUAUUUUGGACAGAAGGUAGAGAAAGAAAUUUGUGAAUGACAUGAGGAGAACUGAAGCAUGGUCCUGACCCUGAUUCGUACAUAUGAACAUAUCGACAUUUUGUGGGUUAUUUCAGUUAUCAGUGAGAUGUUUGUAAUAAAGUGUGAAGUUAUGUUUUGAAAAUAAAUUGGGUUAUUUAAUACUUAUGUAUAAUAUGUUUGAGACAUACUUUAUGUUUAAUGUAAAUAAUGUGAAAUAAGUUUUCAAGUUUAAAAAAA
Long non-coding RNA from Humulus lupulus (European hop), 645 nucleotides. RefSeq lists it as uncharacterized. Lineage: Eukaryota; Viridiplantae; Streptophyta; Magnoliopsida; Rosales; Cannabaceae. The record is from RefSeq and is a predicted model, not a curated record. The transcript is spliced from 4 exons.